CCUACGGGGGGCAGCAGUGAGGAAUAUUGGUCAAUGGCCGUAAGGCUGAACCAGCCAAGUAGCGUGAGGGAAGACUGCCCUAUGGGUUGUAAACCUCUUUUAUGCGGGGAUAAAGGGGUCCACGUGUGCCUGUUUGCAGGUACCGCAUGAAUAAGGAUCGGCUAAUUCCGUGCCAGCAGCCGCGGUAAUACGGAAGGUCCGGGCGUUAUCCGGAUUUAUUGGGUUUAAAGGGAGCGUAGGCGGGUUGUUAAGUGUGCUGUGAAAAUUUGGGGCUCAACCAUGGAAGUGCGUUGGAAACUGGCAGACUUGAGUACGCGGGAGGUAGGCGGAAUUCGUGGUGUAGCGGUGAAAUGCUUAGAUAUCACGAAGAACCCCGAUUGCGAAGGCAGCCUACCGCAGCGUUACUGACGCUGAAGCUCGAAAGCGUGGGUAUCGAACAGGAUUAGAUACCCCUGUAGUC
This 460-nucleotide ribosomal RNA is filed under the name uncultured bacterium. RNAcentral's name for it is "partial 16S ribosomal RNA". It matches the Rfam family "Bacterial small subunit ribosomal RNA", at positions 338 to 795 of the family's 1533-position model. The record is from RNAcentral.